This 508-nucleotide ribosomal RNA is filed under the name uncultured bacterium. Its description in RNAcentral is "partial 16S ribosomal RNA". It matches the Rfam family "Bacterial small subunit ribosomal RNA", at positions 28 to 507 of the family's 1533-position model. The record is from RNAcentral.
GACGAACGCUGGCGGCGUGCCUAAUACAUGCAAGUCGAACGCUUCUUUCCUCCCGAGUGCUUGCACUCAAUUGGAAAGAGGAGUGGCGGACGGGUGAGUAACACGUGUGUAACCUACCCAUCAGAGGGGGAUAACACUUGGAAACAGGUGCUAAUACCGCAUAACAGUUUAUGCCGCAUGGCAUAAGAGUGAAAGGCGCUUUCGGGUGUCGCUGAUGGAUGGACCCGCGGUGCAUUAGCUAGUUGGUGAGGUAACGGCUCACCAAGGCCACGAUGCAUAGCCGACCUGAGAGGGGGAUCGGCCACACUGGGACUGAGACACGGCCCAGACUCCUACGGGAGGCAGCAGUAGGGAAUCUUCGGCAAUGGACGAAAGUCUGACCGAGCAACGCCGCGUGAGUGAAGAAGGUUUUCGGAUCGUAAAACUCUGUUGUUAGAGAAGAACAAGGACGUUAGUAACUGAACGUCCCCUGACGGUAUCUAACCAGAAAGCCACGGCUAACUACGUG